RNAcentral lists this ribosomal RNA (260 nucleotides) under Mesorhizobium sp. RNAcentral describes it as "partial 16S ribosomal RNA". It matches the Rfam family "Bacterial small subunit ribosomal RNA", at positions 1155 to 1414 of the family's 1533-position model. The record is from RNAcentral. Lineage: Bacteria; Pseudomonadati; Pseudomonadota; Alphaproteobacteria; Hyphomicrobiales; Phyllobacteriaceae.
GUGACAAACCGGAGGAAGGUGGGGAUGACGUCAAGUCAUCAUGGCCCUUACGGCCUGGGCUACACACGUGCUACAAUGGUCGGUACAGAGGGUUGCCAAGCCGCGAGGUGGAGCUAAUCCCACAAAACCGAUCGUAGUCCGGAUCGCAGUCUGCAACUCGACUGCGUGAAGUCGGAAUCGCUAGUAAUCGCGAAUCAGAAUGUCGCGGUGAAUACGUUCCCGGGCCUUGUACACACCGCCCGUCACACCAUGGGAGUGGG